This is a small nucleolar RNA of Rattus norvegicus (Norway rat), 131 nucleotides long. Ensembl annotates it as small nucleolar RNA SNORA17. Lineage: Eukaryota; Metazoa; Chordata; Mammalia; Rodentia; Muridae. The record is from Ensembl.
CCUGCCCCUAGUGGUGUUACAGGUAUGGGCCACUGUGUCACAUGUGCAUCAUCAGGUGGCAGAGGAGAGAGAUUUUGCCAAUGCUCAGUGUUCUGACCUAUGGACAUCUGAAUUAUUAGUACCCUAACGUU